AGUGAACGCUGGCGGUAGGCCUAACACAUGCAAGUCGAACGGCAGCACAGUAAGAGCUUGCUCUUACGGGUGGCGAGUGGCGGACGGGUGAGGAAUACAUCGGAAUCUACUUUUUCGUGGGGGAUAACGUAGGGAAACUUACGCUAAUACCGCAUACGACCUACGGGUGAAAGCAGGGGAUCUUCGGACCUUGCGCGAUUGAAUGAGCCGAUGUCGGAUUAGCUAGUUGGCGGGGUAAAGGCCCACCAAGGCGACGAUCCGUAGCUGGUCUGAGAGGAUGAUCAGCCACACUGGAACUGAGACACGGCCCAGACUCCUACGGGAGGCAGCAGUGGGGAAUAUUGGACAAUGGGCGCAAGCCUGAUCCAGCCAUACCGCGUGGGUGAAGAAGGCCUUCGGGUUGUAAAGCCCUUUUGUUGGGAAAGAAAAGCAGCAGGUUAAUACCCCGCUGUUCUGACGGUACCCAAAGAAUAAGCACCGGCUAACUUCGU
This 491-nucleotide ribosomal RNA is filed under the name uncultured bacterium. RNAcentral's name for it is "partial 16S ribosomal RNA". It matches the Rfam family "Bacterial small subunit ribosomal RNA", at positions 29 to 506 of the family's 1533-position model. The record is from RNAcentral.